CUCUAUUAGAAAUUAUUAAUAGUAAAAUCUGCUCAAUGAACUUAAAUAGCCGCAAAAUCGUGCUAAGGUAGCAUAAUCAUUCGUCUUUUAAUUAAAGACUAGGAACAAAAGAUUUAACAUUUUAAUUUAUAUCUUAAUUCCAAACAUUUAAAAUUAUCUUAAAAGUAAAAAGACUUUUAUAAAAAAAAAAGACGAUAAGACCCUAUUGAACUUAACUUCAGUUUAAUUGGGGUAAUUAAUUAAUUAUUAUUUUAAUACAAUUAUUUCAUAAAUAGAUCUUGUUUAAUAAAAUAUGAUCAAGUUACCGUAGGGAUAACAGCAUAAUUAAUUUUUACAGAUCUUAUAUAAAAAAUAUAUUAUGACCUCGAUGUUGAAUAAUAACUUUAUAUACGCAAUAGUUUAUUAAAGAAGUCUGUUCGACUUUUAAAUAAUUACA
RNAcentral lists this ribosomal RNA (436 nucleotides) under Uliodon sp. CG127. RNAcentral's name for it is "partial 16S ribosomal RNA". The record is from RNAcentral. Lineage: Eukaryota; Metazoa; Arthropoda; Arachnida; Araneae; Zoropsidae.